This 131-nucleotide microRNA precursor is filed under the name Paramuricea clavata. Lineage: Eukaryota; Metazoa; Cnidaria; Anthozoa; Malacalcyonacea; Plexauridae. The record is from RNAcentral.
UUUAUACGUCGAAUUUUGGUCGCGUCGAAUGCAAUUCAAACAAUAGAUAUAAUGAAUUAAUAGGUUAGGUUUAUCAUCUCAUUAUCUAUUGUUUUAAUUGCAUUCGACGCGACCAAAAUUCGACGUAUAAA